Molecule: ribosomal RNA, 432 nt
Filed under: uncultured soil bacterium
Lineage: Bacteria
Description: bacterial SSU rRNA
Rfam family: Bacterial small subunit ribosomal RNA
Source: RNAcentral
AGAGCGAACGCUGGCGGCAGGCCUAACACAUGCAAGUCGAACGGACCCUUCGGGGUUAGUGGCGGACGGGUGAGUAACACGUGGGAACGUGCCUUUUGGUUCGGAAUAGCUCCUGGAAACGGGUGGUAAUGCCGAAUGUGCCCUUCGGGGGAAAGAUUUAUCGCCAUUAGAGCGGCCCGCGUCUGAUUAGCUAGUUGGUGAGGUAAAGGCUCACCAAGGCUACGAUCAGUAGCUGGUCUGAGAGGAUGACCAGCCACAUUGGGACUGAGACACGGCCCAAACUCCUACGGGAGCAGCAGUGGGAAUCUUGCGCAAUGGGCGAAAGCCUGACGCAGCCAUGCCGCGUGAAUGAUGAAGGUCUAGGAUUGUAAAUUCUUUCACCGGGAGAUAAUGACGGUACCGAGAAGAAGCCCGACUAACUCGCGCAGCAGC